Molecule: non-coding RNA, 34901 nt
Organism: Rattus norvegicus (Norway rat)
Lineage: Eukaryota; Metazoa; Chordata; Mammalia; Rodentia; Muridae
Source: RefSeq, a predicted model, not a curated record
UGGUCUACACGGUGAGUUCCAGACCAGCCAAGGGCUCCCUAAUGAGACUCUUGUCUCAAAACAAACAAAAGCCUCCUUCUUGUAUUGCCAACAAAUCCUUCACUUAACCGCACCCCACUUUUUUUCUUUUGUCUCCAGGCCUUUAUUAAUCUGCGUGAUUUUCUCUUGGGAGUGGGCUACACAUAAACACAAUUCAGGGUGGGAGGGGACACCUUGGCCCAGGCUCUGGGGUGAUGCCUCCCCUGGGUGACUUGGAAAAAUUUCUGUCAGAUAAGGCUACUUACUGGUCCUGCUGUCGUCCAGAUGUCUGGACCCGUAUUGGGGUCGCAAUGCUGAGUAGGCAGUAAAGCUUCAAAAUUACCCACAGGAUUGAAAUGGAAGCUGUUUACAGUCCACUCCCAGCAUCCAGAGUGCCCUACCUGCCAAGCCUGGUUCUAGGGCCCUGGCGUCAGUGGCUCACUUGGUUCUGGAGACAUAAGCUGCGGUUCCUCUCUUACCAGAAGGUAGAGUCAGGAACACACGCACGCACGCACACACAUCCUAUGGAUGGAGUCACAGCCUUAACGUUCAAACCCAGGAGGUCUGCCCAGCUCAGGAGGUAGUCCCUGAGUCCUGUCUCAGGCAUUUCUGUCAGAUAGUGGUAUAGUAGGACUGGGAAACGACCUUUCUGCAAUGUCAUUCCUCUCCCAGGGGAUACAGGGAGACCAGAAAGCCCCAGUGACCCCCAAGGGUGAAGAUUCCUUUUGGCCUUCCCUUAAUGAUCCUUGGGCUGGGGUAUGUGCUUAAACAUACAGUGGAAUCUUCUGGAAUGUUCUGGAAGCUCCAGUCAGGAAUGAUGAAGGGCCUUCAGAUCAGAAUUUCAGAGGAGAAUCCUGGGACAGUGCAAAGCCCUGGCCUGAAGUGUAAGUCUCACUGGCCUAGCUGCCUGCCCCUAGGAGUCACUGCAGUCCCACUAGUCCCAGGUCACUGGUCCUUGUUGUCUUAGCUUAGCACUGGCUACCUACCCAUCCCUGUCUCUGCUAUUCCACGCCCUUUUGGCACGCAGUUCAGGCUGGCUUUGAACUCAGAUCACAUUGCCUUAGCUUCCUGAACGAUGGGGGUUACAGAUAUGCUAGCAUAGCUGGCACCACCCAAGCUUUGGGGUUCUCUCCUUUUGCCCAGUAGUGUGACUUUGAGGAAGAGCAGGUGCUCUGUCCCAGCUCCCCAUAAGGUGCCUUGCUGGAGAUCACCCCUUUUGACCUCUGAUUCACCUUUCACCCCAGGGUGAAGUUUUUCCAGGUGCUAGGUGCAGGUGGACACAGGUGUAUCUGGUGAGGGUUUGUGAAUUGAGAUCUGGGUGCCAGAGGAUUGGGGGUUGGGCCAGUCCUCCGCACUUCCUGGCUGCUACGAGGGGGCAGCUGGCUUAUCCUCUUGAGACCUCAAUUUCCUGCCAAUGUAGAGCUACGUGAGAUGACACAGAGGAAGCAUCAGUGUCCCCUACAUGCAGAGCCUUAUGAAGAUGUUUGAAACUAGGGCCCAGCGAGGCAUCUGGCACUCAGAAUGACCAUUCAUCCUAUGUGACAGAGUUUCCCUCCUACCUGCUGGCCUUGGGGGACACCUGAAGGACUUCUCAGUGGUCUUGCCUGGGCUGUGUCCACCCACCAGGCCAGCACCCUUCAAGUUGAAUUCCAAGCAAUGUCUGAGGAGCUUCAGAGUUUAUGUCUGACCAAGUCACAGCUAAUCCCUGUGCUGGCGUUUGGGUGCUCUGGAGUCAGAGGUGCAGACUUAGGCCCAGCGCUGCAGGGAAACAGAAGCCUCUCACUAGCACCACUGCGGUGACGAGUAGGACCAGAGUCCCCGAGUCAACCCCUCUGGUACAUGACACACUCUGGAGACAACGAUGGGCACUGCUCAACAGACCUUUCCUAACUGGGAGACAGUGGCUAGCGCUCUCUGGAUUCCUUCAGUCACCAACUUCUCUCUCUCCUUUCAUUCCUGCUCCCAAGUCUGUUUUUCACAAAGCAGCCAGAGUGUGAAUCUAAGUUGAUAUGUUUUAUUAAAAUAUUUUUGAAGUAGCAUCUCAUGUACCCUGAGCAGGUCUGAAAUUCACAUGUAGUUGAAGAUAACUUUGAACUUCAGAUCUUUCUGCCUCCUUUGUGCUGGGACAACAAACAUGUGGUGUUUAGAACAGAACCCAGGGCUUCAUGCAUGCUAGGUAGGCAUGCUGCCAAAUGAGUACAUCCCACCCUGUUACAAUACAGCUCAACCGAGUCCUUCUACCCUCACUCCUGUAGUUUCCCAGCAUUUCUGAAGCUUGAAACCCACGUCCCUGCCAUCACCCAAAGGGUUCGAUGAGGUGGCCCCUGGCUGUCCCUCAACCUCAGGUUCUACUGGUGUAGACUGCCGUGCAGUCCUCGGGAGGGUCUCCACAUGAUGGUGAAGAGAGAAGAACGGGUUACCAUGGAGACCAGCUCCUGAUGAGGGCAUGAGGGCCCAGCUGGGGGUGGGAGUGGACAUGGAUGGGUGCUUCCUGCUUCUACUUGACCACGCCCAUUUUCCCUUUCCUGAGACUCCGGCUCCAGCAAUCCUUUCCAGCUCACCUAUUUGGAGAUUCUAGGAGCCACAUAACUGGCUCCGUUAAACAUUACUUUCAAAGUGCCAACAGCUUGUUGGAAAGAUGGUCUGCCAGUCAGCACAGAACUUCAGCCUAGAUUGGUUCAUACCCGGCAACUGCUCCUCCCUUCUGAAAGUGUACAAGUCAGCAUCCAGCUGCCUAUGCACAGGCUUUCUGGCAGCCAGAGACACCAGUGGCCCUGGUACUACCAUUUCUUCCUGGGUAAAGUGGCAGGUUCCUCCCACUAGGCUCUUUCCUACUUGAUGGCUCACUUAUUUAUUUUUGGAGCUGGCAGUUCAACCUAGGGGUGCAUGUGUGCUAAGAGCAUGCUCUAUACUCGCAGCCUGGUUCCUUCCUAUUUAGCCGGCUGGUCACUGGCCAGUGGCUCCUGGAGCUGGCUAAGCAUCAGAGCUACCAAGGAUCUCUUGGACAGCUUCUGGCCCUCUGGGAGACAAUAACACCAUUGGCCACUCAUCUGUUUCCCAGACACUGCAUUCAUUGGGCUUUCUGCUGUCUGUUCUGCCCUUUGAUUUCUAUCCUUAAGGGUCCCUCUUCCUUCUCCCAUGCAGGAGAACCCUGGCUUUCAGCCUACUCUGUCCCUGUCCACUGAACUUCAGCCACUACCUAUGUGUUGAAAGCUUCUAGACUGAUGUAACACAUGGACACGACAAGAUGCAGCUGGUGGAUGACACUGAAGACACUGUGGAGGCGCCUGGCAGGCCUGUUUGUACCCUUUUCUCCAAGCUCCACUUCCGUACACAGCAGGUGUACCUAGUUCUGACAGGUCCCCAAGGCACUUCAGGGUCACUGAGAGCAACUGGCUAACAAGGAACUUUUCAUAAAGCUAAGAUCCACUGAACCUUGUGGUACUGAAGGCAUUAAAUUAUGCCUGUCUAUCUGCCCCUCCUCCUGUUCUAGGACACCUCUGGCAUGUGUACUUACUCCCAAGUACUCUGUGGUUAGAAGCUUCUCGCCUGAGAGUUCUCCAAGCUGGGGCUGGAUCAGUUCAUCUUUGUCCAAGUCAGCCUCCAUGAUGUCAUGAUCCUCCUGUUUCAAAGAAGACAGGGGUGAGAAUUUGACACCCACUCAGCUACAAUCUCCCCAGAGUGAGCAGGCACCUGCUGUAAAGUAAGGAAGUGGAGAAUCCAUGUCUGUCCAACCCAGAAAACAGAUUCUCGUCACAGCUGUGAGCUAAGCCCAGGCCUAGAUCCAUUCUUCACGGCAAGGGCAGGUACAGGCACCAGAGGACCUGUCAUCCUGAAAUUUCACUCGAGUUCCCCAAAGGCAAUGCUAUCCACAAGCCCCUGGCCCGAGGUCACCUCUGGGAGGAGUGAGAUUUAUGCUGUUGCUUGGCUUGGAGCUGAGUUUACUAAGAGAGCAACCCCUCGGGGAUCAAAUAGCAUGUGUACAUUCUGUGAUUGUUUCAGGAAAGUGACUGCUCCUUGGGAACCCAGGCGGCGAGCUCUGCGGUCUGGUGAGUGGCAGGCAUUUGGGCCAGGUAGUAUUUCACCUCCUCUCCAGGGAACGAGCCUUGGAGGCCCCAGCUGGAAAUGGGCAUGUGAAUCACAGUUUCAUGAGGUAUUGGUAACACACCACUUCCCCGCCAAGAGGGAAAAUGAAACACUAAGAAACAACCAAAGUCCACAUUCCAUCUCACAGAGAAAGAAACUCAGUGGCUGACCUCAGUCAAUACCUGCAGAGGUAUUGCGUUACCCGGGACAACAAGAACAUAUGUAAUAUCCAUUCACUUGCAAAUCAACCUAUAAGUACCCCAACUUGCCAACAGUACUCCUGAACUGCAAAUGACUGCAUGACAAGCUAGUAAGAGUCACUUAAAUGUUCAGUCAAUUUUGGUUUUUUAAAUUAACAAGUUAAAAGCUUUUUUUAAAGACUGAAAGUACUUUAAAAACUUGAGAGAGUGUGUGUGUGUGUGGGGGGGAGGGAAUGGGCAUGCAUGCAUGUACACAUCUGUAUGUUUAUGUGAGUGUGGGUGCCUGUGGGAUCUCUUUGAGCUGGAGUUACUUGUGGUUGGGAACUACACUGCCUUGUUUGAGAGCUAGGCAUUCAACUCAGGUACUCUGUAAGAGCAAUCGAUAAGCAUUUUUCCUGAGUCAUCUCUCCAGCCUCCCCUCACCCCUUUAAAGACAAGGCUUCACAUAGCCUAGGUUGGCCUUGAUCCCCCUGCCUCCACAGAGGGAUGUGCAAAGAUCAGAGGUGUCCACCACUGUGCCUGGCUUAUGUGGUGUUGGGGUUUGAACCCAUGGCUUUGCGCACAUUACACAAGAAUUCUACCAAGCAAGCUACAUCCCCAGCCCUGAAAGUGUUUUGUAAUUAGGCUUUGCUAAUUGAUAGGUUCUCCAACCUUCUAGAGCAGGCCAGUUUCUGCAUUUGGUGACUAAUGUACAUACCACAUCAAGGUGAGUUAGCUCAAGUUGCAGCUCAAUGAUAUGAGCAUAAGAGAAAGAACCAGGGGCUCGUGGAUGACUUACAAUGCAGAGAGGUGGCUUUCCGGCUUUCCUGCCUCAGUUUCUCUGCUACAACAUGAAAUCAAAUACUAUCUGUGUUCUUAGGAACCUCAUGUUCAUGCAAAAUGGUCUUGGUUUAGGGGUUUUAAUUCAGGAAGAUGCGAUUCUUCUGGAUGCCUCAGUUUUUUCAUCUAGUAAAUGGAAUCACCUAGCUGCCUCCUGACUUAUAAACUGAGGAUACUUCUUAAGUUCUGCAGAAGAGAUACCAGUCUUUGGCCAGAAAACUUUCUGGAACUAUCAAGGAGAUCCUGGGUACUGCAUAGUAUGUGGGUUGCAAUGUGGAUGGCUGCCACCCUCACGACAUCAUAGAUGACAUCAACAGUGGUGCAGUGGAGUGCCCAGCUAGUUAAGAAGCAACAAGAAAAUAUUUCAAUAAAAAGCUAUCUGAUUAAAAAAAAGGGGGGGUUGGGGAUUUAGCUCAGUGGUAGAGCACUUGCCUAGCAAGCGCAAGGCCCUGGGUUCGGUCCCCAGCUCAGAGGAAAAAAAAAAAAAAGAGGAAAAAACUGGACACCAAGAAAACAACCCAUUUAAAAAAUGGGGUACAGCCAGGCAGUGGUUGUACACACUUUUAAUCGCAGGAUUUGGAGGGCAAAGGCAAACAAAUCUUUGUGAGUUCAAGGCCAGCCUGGUGAGUUUCAGAACACCCACAGCUACACAGAGAAGAAACCCUCUUGAAAAAUGAGAACCAACUGACCAAAUAAAUAAAUAAAUAAAUAAGAUACAGAUCUAAAUAGAGAAUUCUCAAAAGAGAAAACUCAAAUGGCCGAAAAACACUUAAAAGAAGUGUUCAACAUCUUUAGCCAUCAGGGAAAUGCAAAUCAAAACUGAGAUUCCACCUCACACCGGUCAGAAGAGUCAAAAUCAAUGAGUAAAACAAAUGACAUCUCCUGCUGGUGGGGAUGUGGAGUACGGGGCUCUCAUCUACUGCUAGUGGGAAUGCAAUGUGGUAAUUCUUCAGAAAUCUGGGAAGUGAUCUGCCUUGAGCUCCAGCUAUACCCGUUCUGGGCAUAUGCCCAAAGAUCCCUCAUCACCACAGAGGCACCUGCUCAACCAUGGUCAUUGCUGCUCCAGUCAUAAUAGCCAGAAACUGGAAACAAUGCAGAUGUCCCACAACGGAUGAAUAAACAAAAUGUGGUAGAUUUACAUCACAGAACAAUACUUAGUUCCUGAAACAUGAAAUUUGAAGGUAAGUGGCUGGAACUAGAAAAAAAAGAGUCAUUCUGAGUGAGGUAACUCAGAUCCAGAAAGACCAGUUAGGAUCACGACCUGUCAGCCUCCAUGGAGACCCACACCCUGACCGCAUGCAGGGUGGAAGACUUUGGAACACUCGGCCCGAAAAGGGUGUCUGCAUCUCCACCAGACGCUUGUCCUCUGGGCUCAGGGAACCCUGCUCGAUGAGGAGAUGGAAAGAAGGAGUGUGAGAACCGGAGGGGACGGAGGAGGCCAAAGAAAUAAGGCUCUCUAGACACAACAGGGUGGACGCACACGUGAGGUGGCAGAGACCUGGGCGCCAUGCAUGGGACUGACCAGGUAGAUCCUGGAACUGAAAUGAGAAAUGGACACAUGCCCCGAUCCCUAACUCAGAAGCUAUCUCCAGUAGACAGCCAUAAAAAUGCGUGUUCUCCAAGGGAGUCUCAGUGGAAAAACACCAAGGCUCUUAAGGGCGGGUCCCAUGUCCAACACAAACGAACUCAGUGGUUCUUUGUGUCAGUGUUAGGUCAGACGCUAAUGUCUGGCACAUUUUUGUUGUUGUGUCUAACCUUACAGGGCCCCUGCACAGACGUCAUGGCUCUGGUUUUGCGGUUUAUGGCGUGCGUGUCUCUGUCUCUGCAUCUAUGUUCUUCCUUCAGCUUGCCUCCUCGUCUGGCUGUGUUGUUCCAUUCUGAUUUGUUUGUUUUGGUUAAAUUUCAUUUCAUUUUACUAUUAUUUCUUAGGCACCUAUCCUCUAUGGAGAGGCAGAUGGGGUGGAUCUCGAAUGGGAAUGGCAGUGGAAAGGAGCUGGGGAGAACAAAGGGAGGGAAAUAUAAUUUCCCAUUAACAGGCAAACGAACCCAGAGCUGACCACAGUUCCGGCAUGUUCUAGAAGCUAGUGCUGGCAGAGGAGCCUGAGUCUGCAGGCUACAGAGGAACCUAUCACAUGCUCGAAGACCUAGAGCCUGUACAAGACACAGCUUUUGAUGACAGCGGCACUCGUGCCACUUUUUUUUUUUUUUGAGUGUCAAGUGCAUGGAAACGAACUGGAAUAUGGACUUUAUGCACCAGGCACGUAAGGUGGUGAGUGCACACACGGCGCUGCCUCUCGCCACGUGCUGCCCACAGUGGUUCAUCAGCAUUUAGAAGGGAAGCGCCGUGCUGGUCCCACUCGAGGGAGGGCAGGCCACACCUCACCUCACAGGGAUAAGGGUUUGACUUUUGAGAUAAGAGUGAGGUGCUCAGGCAAUCAGAAGCCCCAAGUCCCAUGCUUGCUACAUGGGUAUGAGAUUUUUAUACUUGUCAAACAAAACAAAGUCAUAUAUCAAGGCAUUUUUCAAAUACAUGGAAGUGGGUUACAGCGACUCUGCUGUAGGUCCCAGACAUUCUGACGACGUUCUUAUCUUGGGGCUGAUGGGAGCUACAGCUCCAAAAGGAUUUCGCUGUUAGGUUUGAUGUUAUAGUCGACACACACAUGGGCACUGAAUAGGUAGGAAGGAGGCUAAAGACGCAGAUCAUUGUGCUCUAGAUCUGCAACAUUCCAACUCUUCACAACCACAAAAGUCUAAUCAGUUAAUCAACCUUGUAAAACCUUUAACCCAGCUGCGGCUUCUUCCUGGGAACUUGAGCUCAUAGCUAGAUGCAUCCAUGCGGAUUGGUUACCUGGUGAGCUUCUCUGAGCGACUCAUGAAAGGCACAAGAAAAGAGAGAAUGCUCGAAAAUCCACUUUGGGAAAGAAGGGCGCACUGAAUAAGGAAAUGCUUGGAGAAUAAAUGCUUCUUUAGGGUGGGUCUUAAAUUCCAUUGUUGGAGGAAUUUUACUAAAAUUACUGCCUUUAUAUUCUGGAGGAGAAUUUAUCAGGUUACGGGAGCACAGUGAUAACAAUUAACUCCAAGAAUUAAGAAUACCUUAAAAAAAAAAAAAAGCCCUUGAGCUGAGAUGAAUUUAGAUGCUCUAAGAGGAGGCUUCCCCAUAGCCGUCCAUGAUCUUAUGACACUACAAGAUUCUUAACUGGAGGCUUUAGAUACAUAAUACUCCAGACAAACCAGAUUCUAAGCCUGGAAACAGAACGAAGGUUGACCGCUCAAUGCAUUUGAAAACUCAGAUUCUUCCAGAUAGAGUGCAGGCCACAGAAUGGACCCAAGUGGUUUCCCGUAAGACAAGCGAGAGUCUCUAGUGUGCUGGCUGUUUGAAAGAAUUAGAGUUUGACGAGCGUCUGAACCUGAGACAGCUUUUCUGCAGGCUGAGCUGUAAACACCACUCUUUGCAAACGCACAGCAAAGCCCUCCACAUGGGAGAGUUUGCCGGGUGACCAAGGUGACCAGGCUCUGCGCUGGGAUCGGCAGGUGACCCAAUGCAAAGGGCCCUGCCUCCAUUUGUAGUAGCUUUCUUCUGAGCCUGUGUCCACGCCUGGGCUGUAAGCGGGCUCUGAAUCCUUAAGGGCUUAUGGUGGUGCGGUUGCUACGUCAGUUUCCUCAUUUACAAAAAUGUUUUCAGCUUCAGGAGGGCCAGAGUGAUAACUGGACCAGUUUAGUAACAAGUAGAAACCUCAUGUUUCUGAUGUCAAGUCUGCUUCAGGUGCUUGAAUUGCUCAUCCUCCCCACCCCACACUGAAUUCUAAACAAAAAAUGGCAAGAAAUAUGGAGGUGCUGUUAAUGAUGCUAUAGCAGAACUGAGACCUAGCAAUGUAUAGUAAUAUACAGAACCGGGGGUGACUUGGAAGCUUGCAGGGACCAGAAGUGACUAAAAGGUCAGAGGGCAAGGAACUUGCCUUGGAACAGCUCUGUGUAAUCCACACAAGGUGCAGACUGGAGUGUAAGGGCAGCACCAUCAAUCUCAGCUCCUCAAACAGAAAGACAAGGCCUCCCCCAAGCAGGGAGAAAUCACUUCCUUGUUAGUCAGAAGUUCUUUACAGACUUCCUGUAAGUACUUAUAUAUUUUCCUGCAAAAAGCAGAUUGUGGAGAAUAGGCAAUGUGACUCCCCUCCCUAGAUGGCUAUUAGAUUCUCCCUUGUGCCAGAUCAUUUAGAGAGCUAGGCAGACUUUACUUAUGCCAGUGCUGUUGUCAGGGUCAUUCCUCACAUUCCCCAAGAAACUACAGGAUGGUCAGAGGGAACUGCCCAGCUCCUGGAGGCAUGGCCUUAGCUAGUGCUGUUCCAGACAGCUUGUACUAGAGCAGUGGCUCUCAACCUUCCUAAUGCUGCGACCCUUUAAUAGUUCCUCAUACUGUGACCCUCAACCGUAAGAUUAUUUUCAUUGCUUCUUCUCCAUAAAUGGAAUUUUGCUGUUAUCAAUCAUGACAUAAAUAUCUGAUAUGUGACCCCUAUGAAAGCACUGUUCCACCCCUACCAUGGUACUAGACUUUCUGCUAUACCAAGCCCCAAGGACUUCCAGAAGACCCUGCACUUAUUUUCACCCAGCCCAGAGGGGAACACUUCCUUUCAUGGCCAAGCACAAGGUGCUGAAUACAAGCUCUGGUCAGGCUGCUAAGGCUCCCUUAGUGUGCUGCUGGGACAUAGUCCUGUGCUGUCUCCUCUGGCAUUGCAACAUUGGGCUUAGUGACAGGCUUUUGUAGUCAAGGAAAACAGCAAACAGGGCACAGCAUGGUGCUGGUGGCUGAGGGGUCAGCAGGCUGAGCUGUGAAGGGGAAGCAGCUGCAGAGUCAGGAGUCCAGGACAGAAGAUAGCAUACGAGAAAUGACCAGAGAGGGCCGAGAGCUGAAAUGGAACAGUAGAGGCUAAGAAGCCAGGGAGAGAAACUGCAGGCCCUGGCUACUGGAGAAGCCGCAGGUGGCUGGCUGUCACAUCUUCAGGCCAAGGUUCUUUAGACCCCAGGUCAAGAGCCUCAUCACUGGCAGGUUAAGGGUAAAGAGACCCCAGCUUCCUUGACCCAUACAGAAGCUCUAACACUGGCUAUGUCUGACCUGAGACUGCAAAAGAGCUAACAACAAGAAGAGCUAUGGAUCCCGAUACCAGAGCCCUGCCCCUCCCACUGGCCUGCAGCCUGCUGACCAGCACUAAGGGAAACCAGAGGUUCAAGACCAGCACUUGAAGCUUCUCCUUGCCUAGCUGUAAUUCCUUUCUUUCCUUGCACUGAGUCCCAAGACAGAACUCAGUUUGUUAGCUUUGGCAGCAAGCACUUUUACCCACUGAGCCAUCUUGCCAGCCCUUCAACUGCAGGGGAGAUGGUUCAGUGAUCAAGAGCACUGGCUGUUCUUUCAGGACCCAGGUUCGAUUCCCAGAACCCACAUGGUGGGUCACAGCCAUCUGUCACUCUAGUCCCAGGGGAUAUGACACCCUCUUCUGACUUCUGUGUGCAUUGUACAUGUGGUGUACAGACAUACAUGAAGACAAAAUACACAUAACUAUAAAAACAAAUAAAAGUUAAUUUAAAAAAAAAAUAGAACGUUCCUUCAGUUAAAUAGUAAGUGACCAUACGCCUGCAUGGUCCAUUCCCACUGAGAAGAAGGUCUGUGGUCCAUAUGCACGCAGGCUGGGAAGGCAGAUGGCUGGGAAUCAGACCAGAGUGAAGACAGGCUUAGGCCAGGAUGUGGAAAGAAGAGGAAAUGAAAGGAAAGCUGCAAGCGCCUUCAGAUGGUGAGUCAUGGCCCUUGUCCUGUCUGAAGAUGGUGACAGUGAGGAGAAGAGUCACUGGCUCUUGAGCAUUUCAAGAAGCACAUGGACAGGCAAGCCACUCACAGACUCACAGCUUCACCCUGACAUGGGACACUUGGCAAACUCGGCAUGCACUGGGAAAGCACAGCCCUAGUUUGUGGUAGUAACCGGUCCAUUUAAAGAAACUAACACAGGCAGAGUGGUCAGGGCACAUGCAGGGAGGGCCCCAGAGACCACAAUGUCUGAUGCUGGCUCCACCCAAAGGCAUUCUCAAUCUAGACGUGCAGGGAGGCCACUGAGCUCCUGGUUUCCGUGCUCCUCAGCUCAGCCCCCGGGACAGGAAAGUUUUCGAGGCAGGGUUUCUCUGCUGACCUCAAACUCAGAGAUUCCCGUGCCUCUGCCUCCUGAGUACUGGAAUUAAAGGGAUGUGUCAUCAUCUCCAAGCCAGUAAAUGGAUUUCAGAGUUCAUCAGGCAGUUUUAACUUUCUUUGUAAAUCAGUAAAGUUGAUAUUUUUCCGUUUCCUUCCUCUUUCAGAAUAAACACUGGUUUCCGGGGCUAGAGAGAUGGCUCACCAGUUAAGAGCAUUUGUUGCUCUUGAAGGAACAUGGUUCUAGCAUGCUUUGGUUUCUAGCACCCACAUAACACUCACAACUAUCUGUAAUUGCUGUUCUAGGAGAUCUAAUAAUCUCUCUGGCCACAGGCCCUAGAGAGGCAUUGGGGGAAGAGCGGGGACAGGGGACAUACUACUACUGCCAAAUUGUCUUCUAAGAAUGUCUGUUAGUCCUGUCCUUAACCUUGGCCAGAGAUGCUUCCCUCUGCCGUGGUCAGCAGCUAAUGCAGAGACUCAACGAGUCGAAGCUAUUAGAGUAAGUGACUGUGAAUCCCAAUCCAGACAUGCAACCACCUCCACCGUAACCAAGGUUCAAGAAACAGCUUAGAAGAAAGGGAGAGAAGACUUGUAAGAGACAAGAGCAUGAGGAGGAGGAAGGCUGUGAAAUGUUGUCUUGCAGACACGACACAGCCAUGGUGCUCAUGAGCUCACACAGCUAUGGUAUCUGCACAUGGUCAAGCCAAGGUCGGCCAACGUUCCAUUCUGGCUGGCGGCUUUAACUGGACUCACUGGGUACCCAGAGAGGAGUGGGGAGGGAGGGAAAGACAGACAAGACAGACAGACAAACAUGACGUGGGAAAGGAAGGGGACCUGGAGGUAAGGCAUGAUCACGUUGUUUACAUGCAUGGAAUUUUCUUUUUUUCUUUUCUUUUUUUUUUUUUUUUCGGAGCUGGGGACCAAACCGAGGGCCUAUCACUGAGCUAAAUCCCCAACCCUGGAAUUUUCAAAGAAUAAAUAAAAUUCACUUUAGAAUGAUAAAUAUAGUUUACACACAGACUGGAUGAUUACCCCAAAAUACCUAUGCCAAGGAGAAGAGCCCAUCCACUACUUAUCUAAAAUAUUAGAUAAGAGAGAAAAAGCCAUUUAAAGUAUGGAUUGGCCUUUCCUGGUUUCUAUCGAAAUGAUAUCAGACAUAUGAAAAUGGUCUGCAAAUGCCUAGGAAUCCUGAGGUGUCUUCAGCCCGCAUCUCGCUCGUCUUGAGCCGUCUGAUGUCUAUUUCCAUGGAAACCAGAGUGGAAGCUCGGGCCACAGCCGAGUCGGUGAGUUGGGCAGUUCAUCCCGGCCACGGUCUGGGAGCCCAGGAGCUGUGCUGCAGAAACACGUGUACCUGGAACUUCACAGGAGCCAGGAACGUGCAGAAGCCUUAACUGGGAAGCAAUGGCAUCUUCAUGGACCUGACUGGAUUGUGGCAAAGCCCCGUGAGUAAAAUGGCUAAGUAUUGGGAAGCUGAAAGCAUAGACUACCCCAUACCAAGGCACAGCAGGCGACAAUCAGCGGAGGGGAUUCAUGGAGAAGGUCUAACUGUGGGCUCUUUGGACACCUGUCCUGAAGAAACUUGCAGGUUGUGUGUGGGUGAAGAUGUUGGAGGGGAACUGAGACUAUGAGUCCCCAACUGUCACUGCCCUGAAGUGCAGAUCAGUGGGAGGGGACUAACCAUUCAUUUCCUCUUCUAGCUAGAACAGACAGUGUGCUUCCCAUUUAAAAUUACUCCCCUUGGGGCUGGAGAGGUGGCUUAUUGGUUAAAGGUCCCGGCUGCUCUUCCAGGGGACACAGGUUUCAUUCCCAGCACCUGCAAGAUGGCUAGCAACUAGCCCUGACUCCAGUUCCAGGUGGCCAAUGGUCUCCCUGGGCACUGCAUGCGAGUGCUUGUUGGGUCUCCAGGAAAACUGGCCUCUGAAGUCACACUAGCGUGCUUCCCAAUCCUAAUGGGUCCCGACUUUGUGUGUGCUCUUGGCUGCUGUGCUCCUAGCCACUAGAUCAGGCUGGGCUCCAGCCUUCUCUAAGAAAAUGCUAAGUUCUUCCUUUAACCUUUGAUAAGAGUUAUUUUUGAAAGAUGUGGGAAGCAGAGGCAGGCAGAUUUCUGAGUUCAAGGCCAGCCUGCUCCACAGACUCAGUUCCAGGACAGCCAGGGUUACACAGAGAAACCCUGUCUCGAAAAACAAACUGAAAGCAAAACAACAAAAAAGAUGUGGGUGAAUGUGGAGGAGCUGUGACCAGUUGCCAUGGUGACAACUGUACCAGCUCUGGCAGCAGCAGUAGAGAAUGUGGGGAAAACAGGAGAGGAUCUGGGAGACCAGUGUGGAGGUGAGCAUGGAGCUCUCAGUGGGGCAGGCUGUGUGAGUCACAGGGUAACCAUGUCUGUAUGGCCUCUACUAAAUGCUCUCAUGUCUGCAGCAUUGCAAACCUCGCCCCUCCCUGCUAGCCAGUGCCUAAAGUACCUGGAAACCGAACAACACAGAACACACCCCAGUUCUUUUCUCUAUCCCUGGAAACUACCCAUCUACUGUGCUGUGCUGUUAGUUUUUGUUAACUUGGCCCAAACUUUGAAGUAUUAAGAAAAUGCCUCCAUAUUUUGGCCUGUCUGUAGGCAGGUCUGCAGCCCUUUAGUGACUAAUGAUUGAUAGGGAAGGCCCAGCCUACUGUAGGUAGUACCAACCCUGGGGAGGUGGUCCUGAAGAAGCAGGCUGAGCAAGCCAUGGAGAACAAGCCCUCAGCAGUGAUCCCCCAUGGCUCUGCAUCAGUUCCUGCCUCCAGGUUCCUGCCUUGAGACUUGGAUUGUGGACUACAAGGUAGAAGCGGAAAUAAACCUUUUCCUUUUUAACUUGCUUUUGGUCAUGUUUUAUGAUAGCAACUGAAACCCUAACAAGGGACAGGUGUCAGACCAAUAUACCCUCCCCCGCUUCCCUAGAAUGAAUCGAACAAUCCUAAGUCUGUACCCUAACAAGGGGACAGGUAUCAGACCAAUAUACACCCCCCACCCCCCAGAAUAAAUCAAACAAUCCUAAGUCUGCUUUGCUCAUGGAAUCACAGUCAAGGCUCUUAAGUCUCCUUACUCCCCCUUUGCUUCUUACCCCCUUCUGCAUGGUCCCAUGUGUCAUGGCAUGUCUCUACCUUUUGGGUAACAAGAAGACAAAACGAUUUUUUUUGUUGUUGUUGGUUUUUUUUUUUUUUUUUUUUUGUAGACAGGGUCCCGUGUAGCUAGGGCUAGCAUUACACUCAGUAUGAGCUGGGAUUAUAGCUGUGUACCUCCAUGAGUACCUCCAUGACAGGUCUAUGCAGUGCUGGGACCUUGUGUACACCUGACAGCCACUCUGCAAACAUGUUCUGUCCUCAGCCUACAAAACCACCAUUCAGUAGUGCGUGUCUCCGGAUCUGUAGUUUUACAGAACCUUACAUUUUUCUAUUAGUAUGUGGAAUGUUAAAGCCUUGGCGGCCACAUCCUUAUCAGGGCUUCUCUGUGGUACCUGGGCUUCCUCCUGAACCAAGAGACGAUGGGCCGCAGAAACAGCAGACCACACAAGUGCUUUUGCGCAGCCCAGUAUGGCAGGUUAGAAACAACAGUGAUGAUGGAGAAGAGGGCUAGCAAAUCCCAAGACCUUAAGACACCCAGGGACCAGCUUGCAAGCUUUGCUGCUGGUCAUCCAUUACUGAAGCCUGCGCAUACAAGAAGAUAAUAAAAACCACCCCAGCCUGGCCUUGCUUUGGAUGCUAUCUUGGGGUUGUAUGUUGGUGAAAUAUAUCUAAAGAGGAUAAUGUAAGUUCUUCUCUAAGUGAUGAGACAGAAUGGAUUUAAAAAUAAAGAUCUCAUAGUGCUUUAUUGUCUAGCUUUUCCCAAAUUUCGGUUUACUAUAGGAGAUGGUCAUGACUGAGCUUGCCAAGAUCUCAGGAGGGUCAGCCACAGCCCUACUCAAUGGUCUAUCCUUCCUCCAUGCCAAUGGACCAGGAGGAGAGUCAUAAAAAAGUAGAGGUGAAUUUGCUGUCUUCCCCAACAAGAGGCAACAUUAGAGAUCUUGAGUGCUUGGCUCUCUAGAAGUUUGUGUAAAUGGAAGGCACAAAAUGGUGUUGUGAAAUUAGCAAAGUGUAGAAUUUUCUUAUGUAAUCUCAUCUCUUGUGCCUCCAUAUCUGGCAAGGCCUGAGUGCUGAUGCGGGGCUCUACAUUCCCUAAGAGAAGAGACAACAUGGUGGAUCAUUAGGUCUACCACAAAGAGCUCAGAAUGCAGGACCAAUGGAAGGAGUUGCUUCCCAAGCAAAACCUGAGAGUUCUCAGGAACAGAACUCUAGGGCAGGAGAUAUGAACACCAAGAUCAUCCUAAGCAUCACUUCAGAGGAACUACCAAAGAAGAUGAUGUUUGUAUUCCUUCCAGGGACAAGAUGUUCUAGAGUGCCCCAUGUGUAGAUGUCCCUCCAGGUUAUGGCUGGGACAGGAAGGACUCAAAAGACACAAACUUCUGUUCUGUCUGAACCUGCACUGUCACUAUGCCAGCGUCCUAGACUCAUCUCCCAGGUCCAUGUGGGUAUCUGUCCUUUUCAUUGUCUCCUUGUCUGAGUUUCUUCAUCUUUGGAAGAUGUCAUUUUUAACUCACAAGAAAUUUUGUUUUGUUUUUUGGAGACAGGGUUUUUCUGUGUAGUUUGCUGUUCUCGUACUCAAGAGAUCCUCUUGCCUCUGCUUCCUCAAAAGCUGAGUGCUAGGAUCAAAGCUAUGUGCCACCACCAGAAAUUUUUUUUAUAAGAUGUGUGUGUGUGUGUGUGUGUGUGUGUGUGUGUGUGUGUGUGUGUGUGUGUGUGUGGUUUUCUGUGUGAUUUGUUCUCAUGUGAAUGCCCAAGGAGUUCAGAACAGGGUACUGGGUUAUUGGAACUAGAGGCAGUCAUGAUAACCAAUAGGCCCCUCUCUAGGCUCAGAUCUUAGUCUUCUUUGUUUAAAAUAAUUACUGUUGUGUGUGACGCUUAUGUAUGUUGGUAUACUUACCACAGUGCACAUGUGAAAGUCAGUUCUGUUUUUCUACCUUUCUAUGAAUUCUGGGGAUCAAAACCUAGCGACUAGGCUGUGUGGGGCAAGAGCUUUUAUCUGAUGAGCCAUUUGACAUCCAUCUUUAAAAUUAAUCAGCUAAUAUGGUUGCGUGUAGGCACGCAUGCCACGGUGUACACACGGAGAUGAGAGGACAAUUUUGUAGAGUUCCCUCCUUCCACCCUUUCCAUGUCUUUGGAAGAUUAAAUUCAGGUCAGCAGGUUUGUGAGACAAAUGCCUUGACCCACUGUGCCUUCAUAUGUGUGUGUGUGUAGUCUGUGUUUGUGUAUAUGGUAUGUGUGCGUGUGUGUGCACGUACACACUUGCAUGUUCAUGUGUAUGUGCAUGUAGGGAGGGGGAGUGCAUGCCUUAGCAUGGAGAUCAGAGGACAAGCAUUCAGUUUGUCAGGCUUGUACCAUAAGUGCUUUUACCAGCUGUGCCAUCUUGUCAGCUUGAGGUUUUCUAGGUUCUGUGCAUUUAAUUCUGAUUUAACUUCACUGGGCAAGUUAUAACACUAAUACAAUUAAUUUGGCAAUUAUACUUAAAUGACCCACAUCUGAAUUUACUCGUGUUUGGUUUUGAAGCAAGAUAGAAAUGAGUCAGCAGUGACAUGGUCACGUGGACUGGGUGGGGCUUUAUUUACUGAUUGAUUGAUAGAUUUUGUUUUUGAGACAGGGUUUCUCAGUGUAACCAGGCCUGGCUGUCCUGGACUAGCUCUGUAGGCCAGGCUGGGCUCGAACUCAGAUUAAUUUUUUAAUGGAAAAUAUGGAGCUGGAGAAACUGCUCAGCAGUUAACACUGUUACUCUUGCAGACAACCAGGAAUCAGGGUUCAGUUGCCAGUGUGCCAUCUACACAGUGGCUUACAACCAUCUAGAAUUCCACUCACAGGGGAUCUGAACCCUCUUCUCAACUUCUGGGAUAUCCUGCUGUACAUACCACAUGCAGGCAAAACAUUCAUGCCCAUAAAAUAAAUAAAUCUAAGAAUAAUUUUAAUGGAAAUCAUGAGCAGGAGAGAGAGCUUAGUCCAUCAAGUGCUUACUGCUUAAGUGUGAGGACACAAGCUCAGUCCUCAGAACUCACCAAAGACAGUCGGGUGUCGGGGAACAUGCUCAUAAUCUCUGCUGGGAAUUCGGAGGCAGGGGAAUCCCAAAGGCUCACUGGUCAUCAGCCUAAUCUAAUUAGGUGUGCCCCAGGUCGCAAUGCAAUCUUAUCUUACAUGUGCAUACACACACACCUGCACAUAUACACCUGCACACUUAAUACCCAGGGCACUUGUGCAUACAUAAGUAUAUACAUGUACACAUACACACACAUGCAUACAUCCACACACACACCUACACAUACCAACACAUACAUACCUAUAUACACACCUACACACACAUACCCUCACACCCCCCCACACUCCUAUACACAUUCACACUGAUACCCAUACAUAUCUACACACAUAUACAGGCCCAACACUACAAACCUAUACACAUACACACAUACUACAAACUCCUCUACAUACACAUACACAAUUACACCUACAUACACACCUACAUACACACAUAACCCCACACAUACACACCUGCACACACAUACCCCCCACAUAACUACACACAUCUCCCCACACAUAUAUACCUUUACACAAUCCCCCCCACAUAAUACACUUCUACACACAUCCCCCCAUGUAUACACUUCUACACACACCCCAUACAUACACACCUACACACACAUCCCCCCACAUAUACACCUGUAUACAUAUUCCCACACAUACACACCUGUAUACCCCACACACAUACAACUGUAUACCACCACACACACAUACAAACCGGCACACAUAUCCCCCCCACAUACACACCUGUAUACAUAUUCCCACACAAACACACUACACCCCACACACAGACACCUGUACACACAUACCUCACACAUAUACACCUAUACACACAUACCCCACAUAUACACACCUGUACACACACCCCACACACAUAUACACCUAUACACAUAUCUCCUCCACAUACACACACCUGUACAUACAUCUCCCCACACAUACACACCUGUACACACCCCCCCUCACACACACACACCUGUACACACACUCCUCCACAUACAUACCUACACAUACCUGUACAUACAUCUCCCCACACAUACACACCUGUACACACAUACAUGCCUGUACACACAUCCCUCUUCACAUACACACCUAUACAUACCUGUACACACAUCCCUCUCACAUACACACCUAUACAUACCUGUACGCACAUCCCUCUCACAUACACAUCUAUACACACCUGUACACACAUCUCUUACAUGUCCCUGAAAAUAUGAUGAAAGCUACCUUUCACUAGUUUUCUUUCAUUUAUUAUUUGAGACAGGGUCUCACUGGAUAGCUCUGCAUGGCCUGGCACUCACUGUGUAGGCCAGGCUGGUCUCAAGUUCACAGAGAUCUGCCGGCCUCUGCCUUCUUAGUACUGGAAUUAAAGGUGCAUAUCACCAUAUGUCUGGCCUCUUUCCCAGAUUUCUAUUAUAACUGUAGGUAACAGAAGAUGUUUGAACAGAAUUAUAAUAUCAGUUAAGUUAGAGAAUAAUUUUGAAAACAAUUAUUCAGAAUUUAAAAAGAAAAGGAUCAAAACAAAAUGUGCUGAACUCUUUAAAAGUAAAAAAUUCAAAAUGUAUAUAUUUUGUAACUUUUCAAACUAAACUAGAAAUUUAAGCAUCCCUGAGCCAUCCGAUGGACACACAGAAUCUCUGCACUAUUUUUUCCUGUAAAUCUAAAAUUGCCCAUGCCUGCAAAAGUUUUGAAACUGCACGUACAGAAGACCCUGGCAGCAGACGCACGAGCACCUUGUGUAGCGAACCCCACUGCACUGUGUUGAUGGGGAUCUAUCGGGAAAGGAAACAGGCCGGGACGGCAGCCUCUGAAUCCAGGCAAAGCUGCAAACAGCAGUGGAGCCAACAGUCUGUAGAAAGAUGUAUGCACCGGUUACUCUGAAGAUACCCAGGGUCAACAGUGGCUGACGGGGCAUCUGUGGUCUUCGUCAGGAUCAUUUGUGCUCCUCAACACUUGGCAACAAAACUCAAGUGAAAUAUUUAAAGUUCUGCCUGCAUCUGUUGACGCGCAUGGUGAAUCCUGGAACAACCAGACUUCUGACAUUUGCACAGAAGGUGCAGCAGCAGGGACAGGUGACACCACAGACUGCGGGAGGGAGACAGUGACACACAGGCCUGUCACUACUUUUGUCUGUGACAAACACCUGAGAAAGUGAGGCUAAUGGAGCCAAGCUUUAUUCUGGCUCUGAGGUUUCAUGCCAUGGUCAACUGGCUCCUUUGCUUUCGGCCUAAAGGGUGGCAAUGUCACACCAGGGAGUGCAUGUGGCUCAGGAGAUUCAGGACACACAGAACAGACAAACAGGUGAGGAAGAGGGCACCACGCCCUGGAUAGCAGGUUCUCAGGAGCUAAUUCCCUGUUAGGAGGGGCUUUAUAAAAAAUAUUCUUCAUCAAUGAGCCAAAGAAGAAAUCCUGAAUAAAACUAGAAAACUCUUAGAGACAAAUAAACCAAACUUAUGCAGACGCUGUGCUCAGAGGGAAACAGAGCUGUAACCAUCCAGGUAAAAAGACCCCAAGUCCACCUAACUUUAUACUUUAGGAACCAGAAAAAAGAAAAGUGAGUUAAAAUUAAUGUUAGCAGAAGGAAGGAAAUAAAAACCAGAGAUAGAGAAAAUGAAAAAAAAAAAGAGAGAAAACUAACAAAACAAAAAGACUGGCUCUGAGAACGAUGAACGAGACUAUAAAGCCCUUUGCCUGACACACCAAGAAGAGAGAUGCCUCAUAUUAUAAAUGGGGCAUCACUACAGACCCUACAGAAACAAAAAGGGUCAUAGGAAAUGAUGCAGCAACAGCAUCUUAGCCAAUUAAAAGAAUGACAAUUCAAGAACACCUUUAAGUAAAUACAAAGUUCAGGGCCAGUCUGGGCAUCAUGAGAACCUGUCUAAAAGUAAAAACAAACAAAUGAAUUUGGAGAAAUCUAUUGUAAUUAGCUCCCCUCCCUCACCCCAAGGAAACCAAAGCCAUAUCCUUCACCUAGCAAGCGAGAGCUGUAUAAAUAAAAGCUCCAGCAAAUGAGAUGCCUAUGUUCUCUCAAGCACAGCUUGGAGCAGCCAAGUCUGGACAACUGUGCACCCGGCACACUGAGAAACAUCAGCUUGCUGCACUGCUGACUCAGAAAGAUUUCCAAAGAUAUUAACAAAGGAAAAGGCCACAUUGUACAUAGUAGUGCUCUAUCUGCAAAAUACCGAUUACGGAAACAUCCAGAGAGGACUGUAUGUGUGUGCCUAUGUAUCAAUGAAGCCCACAUACAUAUGGAUAAUAGCUGAGGUGGAGAAUCAAGCAGUCCCCUGUCCCUGCUGAGUGUCCUCCUUCAACCCACUGUACUUCCUCUCCACCCUAGGCUUUUCUCUACCCAGCCUCUGCCUUCCAGGAUUCUAGAACCUCCCCUCCCACCAUAGCACUUCCAUUUCCUUCCCCUUUCCGGACCUGUGAACGCUUGUUAAUUUUCUGCUAUCUCUGCCUAUCCUGAGCCUAGCAGUGUCUGACCAGAGGACCCCAGGGCAUGCUUUGUCACCUCACAGUGACACAGGUAGGAAUCCCAGCUCCACUGCUCACUAGCUUCAUGACCUUGGUGAGUGACCUUUUCCUGUGUCUGACCACAGGGCAGAGCACAGGCAGGAGCACAGACGGGUGAGGAGCUGGAGCAGAAGCUGCCAUGGGACGAUACUAUACAGUAGUAACUUCUGGAUCAUCCCCAGCUCCUUCACGGAGGUAUUGUAAACCACAGAUCUACCACACAGACUUUUAUGGAAUCUCUUUUUUAAUCCCUUCUGUACUUCCUAGAACAUGGUUAACUUCAAGGUCCUUAAAUAUUUGUUCAAUACAUAAUGAAGGGAAGAUAAGACAGAAGGAAACUGGGUUAUUUACAUAGAUCCCACAAGUAAAUGUGCAUGGCUGACUGCCCACGGCACUAAAACCUAUUUUGCCAAGAGGAAGAGAAUAUUUGUCUUCAAAUCAAUCUUCUCAAAUAGUCCAGGAAGACAUUUAUUUCCAUUUAAGUCACGUGUAAGUUCAUCUGAGCAGGUACUGAGGAAACCUUUGGGGUGAAGACACUAGAAUGAGGCUCCUGGCCUUGGGAUCUUCUGCCAGCCCCUGAAUAACACUAUACACAUGCUAAUCAUAAAAAAGCACGAGAGACCACAUGGUCUUCAGGCACUAUAUGGGAGCAUCUGAACCCUGCCCAGCCACUGCCUGGCAUUGCCCAUUCUCGAGAAUGCAUUUCCAAGCUUACCCAAUGCUUUUAUUUCUCUCGAGAGUUAAAUGGGGCUGGAGCCUUAUGGGCCAAAAGAAUCUAAGAAGCAAGUUAUCCCCAUCCCCAUCUCUCUUAUUUCCCACCGGGUCUUAAGUAAUCUAGGCCACUACUAAACUGAGGGAGGAGGUUACUGAGGAGGAUGGCCUUGAACUUCUGAUCCUCCGUCCGCCUGAGGGCUGUGAUUACAGGUGCGUACCACCAAGCAUGGUUUCUGUGGUGCUCAGUACUGAACCCAGGCCUCUGUGUCUGUGUAACCAGCGGAUACACAGGUCCAGCCCCUAGGAAGAAAUUCAGGAGACACAGAGCUGGGCGUGGUAGCACACGCCUUUAAUCCCAGCACUAAGGAGGCAGAGGCAGGUGGAUCUCAGUGAAUUGGAGGCUAGCGUGGUCUAGGGAUGGAGAGAAACCUUUUUCUGUCUUUAAAGAGGAGGAAGCCAUCAACGACCACAGUGAGGACACUGGGCUUUGAGGCCUUCGGCUCCCUACCUCACAUCUCCUGACAGCUUCGGGUGGAUAUGUCUGGUUUUCCCAUCUUAAACUAAACCAAAAUGGCCUUUAUCCUUACUCUUCCCCUGCAUGUCCCCAGUGUGUGAAGAAGGGAACAUACUGAGAGUUUUCUUGUGGCCUGCUUCACUCUUCAUUUUACUGGGGGUGGCCUUUGCCCCAUUUAACCUAAGAGCCCAGAUGAUGCCGUUGACUUCAGCCCUACCACAUCCACUGUCCUGUUUUCCCUUCUCCCCUUGCUGGUCAGCCUGAGCCCCAGGCCUUUCCACCUCCCACCCACACUUCCUCAUUCUUCUUCCCCUUUGCAGUUCCUAAAGUCAACACAAAGGGUGCAGCUUUCCACACCUUUCUGCUGUGUGGGCACAAGUGUAUCUAUAACUCACAGGCGUGUACCUUUAUAUGUUUGCUUUGUUUUAAGCCCUGUCUACCUUAACUUUACAAUAUUGGGGGGGGGGCAAAGUAUUGCUAUAUGUUGCCCAUAUUGGCUUUGAACUCCACAUCCUCCUGCCUCAGCUUCCUUCCUGAGUUUUAGCAUCCUACACCCAGCUAUGUUUGUCUUCAUCACAGUGUUCCUUACGUGGUCUGUACGUCAGAAGAUAUUUUGCUAGCUCUGUAAUUUUUAAUUUUUAUAAAUGGGUGGAUAUUCAAUAAAACUUGAGGGUUUUUUUUCUACAUUAAACAAACAGUUGCAGUUUUAGAUGUUAGAAAAUAAAGCUAGAUUUUGCAUCCAGGCACUUUAAGGGCAGAAGGCAGAAUGCUGCAAAUGUACUUCUCAGCUCAAUGUAAGGCAAGGCUGCAUAAAUCUUCUGGUGCCUGGCCUCUCUGCGGAGCCAUGUCAGUAAGCGGCUGCCUAAAAGCAGUGCCACUGACUUCAGCCUUUGCACUGGGUCUAAAUGUCAAGUUUUUAAAAUUUCCUUCACUGCUAAGUAAGAGACACGGACAAUCCCGUCUGCUUCCGAGCCACUCUGAAAGGAGCGCCAGCAGUGCCUCUCAGCAGUCCUGGACACCUUCCCUGAACUGAAGGAUCUGCCACGUUCUUCCUCCCCGGCAAUGUUAACAGACAGCUAUAGCUGAUGGCUGGCCUUGGUGGGCCCUGCUAGACUCUGGCAGUUCACUGAGAAGGUCACCGAGGGUCACCCAGGGUCUGCUACCCCAGUCAUCAGUGUUACUCUUGGUCCUGUCCUUUUAUUGCUCACCACUUAGUUACUGUAACAAGUGUAACAGAUUCUAACAAGUAUCUUCAGGUGCCAAUCUUGGCCCAGGUUUUGUUUUUAUUUUUUUUUCUUUUGUCUGCUUUACACAAACUACAGUUAUCUGGAAAGAGGAACCUCGACUGAGAAAAUGUUUCCAUCAGACUGGCCUAUAAGCAAGUCUGCAGGGCCUGGGGUGCAGAAAAACAAACUGAGCAAGUCACGAGGAACAAGCCAACAAGCAGGGCUCACUCCAUGGCUUCUGCUUUAGUCUCUGUCUCCAGGAUCCCACUUAAGAGUUCCUACCCUGGGGGGCUGGGGAUUUAGCUCAGUGGUAGAGCGCUUACCUAGGAAGCGCAAGGCCCUGGGUUCAGUCCCCAGCUCUGAAAAAAAGAACCAAAAAAAAAAAAAAAAAAAAAAAAAAAGAGUUCCUACCCUGACCUCCUUGACUUGGCACUGUGAUGUGGAAGCUUUAGCUAAGCCAGACCUCUCCUCUGCAGGCCUCACAGCAGCACAUGCCCUCCCUGACAAGACAGGAGCAGCAGCAGUCCAGAGACCUCAGCCCAUGUGACUGCCUCUCUGCUGAAGGGAAAUGUGCACACAUUGGAUCCCUGUAUUUGAGCAGCAGGCUUGAACCAGAUGAGCUCUUAUUCUAACUCAAAACUAACAGAUUAGUGGCAAAACAAUGGAACAAGUCAGCCCAUGGAGGCAGUGACCAUCCUAGCACAUGGGAAGCUGAGACAAGAGGAGACAUGAUCAAGGUUAAGCCUUGCUACAGAGCAAGACCCUGGUCUCCAAACAAUAUAAAACAAACCAUCAAAGCACCAGAGAAACACUGACGUCCCCAAAGAAGGGGACACAGGAAGGGGAAAGGACAGAACUUGAUAGGAACCUUUCUAUGGACAAGACGACCAAAAAGUUGAAUAAAAUGAUUAUCUCGAAUCUGUGAUAAAGGGUCAAGGGUCAAGGACAAAGGCGGCACCUUUCUCAGCAGUGGCUGAGCUCAACCCAAGGGGUGGCAGCAACAGCCCUUGAAUGCAGGGGACUGUGUUGGUUUACAUUGAGAGGAAGACAUUUUAUGCUUUUAAGUAUUUGAAACAAAAUUAAAUGCCAUGAAAAUUAUAUAGCCUCCUGACUCUUUCACUGUUCACAAAUAGUUGGGGAAUACAGUCAGGAUUCCCAACAGCCACUGUAUGUUAAAUGGCAGAACCGAGUGGUUCAAACUAAGACCAUGUGACCCUCCCAGCCCAACACACGGCCACCCUUCCCCUUUACAGAAAGUUUGCUGACCUAGCUAAGUCAAGAUUUACCAUAGCAGCUUUCCCUGGGCACACGGCUGGUCUCUGUCCCCAAUGGAGAGGAUGGUGGCUAGAUCUGGGGCUCCCUUGCCCCAGCAGGCAGGAAGAGAAGAGUGCCCACUAGUGCCAUCUGCAGCCCAGAAAAGGAAUGGCAGGCAGGGAACUGGGCUGUUGGGGAAGUCAGUCAUCUGGCAGAUUCUAAAUAACUAUGGCCUCACUCAUGCCAGUGGGGAACACAAGCUUAGCUUUUAUGGAGCACUUUUUAAACUGACAGAACAGAACCACAACUACAAAUCCUUCUUCCCACAUUUCUGUAUGGAGGGAUGCACCCCAAAUAGAAGAGAUGUUCCCAACAUUCCCAUCUGCUGCCCGGGCACAGAAUGAAGACAAGCCACAUUGUCACAAGAAUGAUAGGGUGGCAUGUCUGUCCUUCUGAAGGGAAAGUCACCCAGAAGCUUGCCAUGUGAGCCCUGCCUGUAGCCUCCAGGUUACUGUCCUCUAGACCACCCCACUGAGACUCUGCAUGUCAACUAACUUCUGAGGAUGAGGGGGCAGGUGUGUCAUAGCCAACAAACCUACCACAAAAAAAUAAACAGGGGAUGUAAAGUGGUUGGUUCUGCCAGCUCCAAACCACACCGGGACCCCUUAGUGCAGAGCCUAUGUGCCAUGACUCCUGUCACCAGAGACAGCGGAGGGCUCACAACCGUUCAGAGCAAAGACUCGGAAAGAAGAACUGCUCCUCACCUUCCCUAGGAUCGAGAGGAGGUCAAACCUGUGACCUGUGCACGUGUCCUGAGGUCUGUGUGCACGCCCCAGUGUGGACUGGGCUUACACCCCGGCUAGGUGAAGACUGAAGGACGGUGUCCUGAGGCUUAAGGUUAGGCGAGCCCAGCUAUGGCUGGAGCACUGCAAGAUGCCAGGCACCCGAGAGAGGCCUCAUGUGAGGGCUACAGAGCCACCACACACUGCAUCUCCACCAACCCCAGAACUUCAAGGAAAGGCACGGAGGCAGGAAGACACCACUUCUACCCAAGUGGUCAGACUCGGAAGGGACACACAAGAGUAUGACAGGGCUUUCGGUGUCAUCUCAAGAGCCUUCAACUUACUUCAUCAUCUUCAUCCUCGUCAUCAUCGGAUUCAAGAACACCAUCCAGUAAAUCUUCUAUGAAGAAAAAUAAGUUAAUCAGAAAAACCACAAAGCUUGUCACUUGGUCACUGAGCGUCAUCCAGGGCACCCAUGUGAGCAUCAUAUGUCAUGCUGCUGACCACACGCCGCCUCUCCUGACUGCUCCUGACCACUGCCCUUCACACUCCUGAUCACUCACUGGUACACACGUUUACUCUCUUGGCCACCCCGAAUCAGCCACAGUUUGCUACCACUCUUAGCGAUCCAGACACACUCUGUUUUUAGCAGUUCAUAUUUACUCAUAUUCUUAUAAACACAACAUUGGAAGGAGCUGCAGUGCAGGCGAAUGAAGCAGUGGACUCCUAGGAAGCCUGCUAGCUUCUACAACAGUGCUCUUUCACAUAAUCCUCUUGGCAGCUUUGUGGACCAUCGCUCCUCACUCACGGGUAACAAGUGGAGGACAGAGGACCCAGGGACCUGUUUGUGGUUCUGCUUUCUAAACCCCAUUGUUCUAACUUAAAGAUGUAGAUCUGGGUAAGGAGCUAACAUGAGGGUACCCUUACAUGAGCUUUAAUGGGAUGGAGGGGUGCAGGGCGACAGAUACAGAGACAGAUACAGAGACUGACACAUAAGGGCCAUGAGCUGGUCUUGUGAAGGAAGAGAAUACUAGGAAAGAUAUAUAGCUUACACUAGAAAUGCUAUGGUGGGGCUUUGAAGGGAGAGAAAGAGCCCUUCCUUCAAAACUGGGUCAGAGCUACACUAGGAGAGACGGCUACCGUGCACAGCAUGACUGAGCCUGGAAGGAAGAACAGAAAAAUCCCCUGAACCAAGACGGUUUCUGACUCAGAGCUUUUUGGGGGUUGAGGGUGUCAGAAGUUUCACACCGUGUAACUUGCGACCUAGCCUUCAAGCAAAGGGAGUAAGAGCAGGCACUAGCACAAGGUAGGAGCAUAAAUUUAUCAUGCAGCUGCAAGGGCUUGCCUUUACACUAAGGCUGUGUGCUUAAAAUGGUCAGUGGUGUGUGUGUGUGUGUGUGUGUGUGUGUGUGUGUGUGCGCGCGCGCGCGUGCGCGCGCACUGUCAGUUCUUCACUGGGGGCUGGAGGGCAUAGCCUGAUUCUUCCAAGCUCCCUUAUCUGGUCUCUUACAGUAGACAGCCUAAAGUGGCAGGUCUGUGAUAUAACACAGGGUGGGCACAGCGGUGUUCUAAAAGGCUGAGGCUCAUUACUAGCUCGGUGGAGUUUGCACAUAUGCACAAGUCCAUAGUAUUCAGAAGCAGUGACUGAGCCAUUCCCUGACCUGGCAAGUGGGGUCAUACUGCUUACUUCCUUGGGCCCUGAGAAAGGAAGAAGGGAAGAACUUGGAGAAUUUUACAGCACGCAGAACAAGCACUUGGACCAGGUACACAGUAGACAUCACCCAAAUAUGAGUUACAUUCUCCUCCAUGAAGCCUUCUCUGAGCCAUCGUCUCUCCCUUGGCAUUGCAUCUAGGCUGCCAACAGUACUCCCCCUGUGGAAGACCCUAUUCCCAGUAAAGAGAUGGCUACUGACUUGUUGGGAAGCCCCCUGGGAAGCUAAUCACCAAACUGAACUAAGAGUGCUUAGGAGAUAAGUAAAGCUCACUUCUCACUCUGAAGACUGAUGGCUAAUCUUGACUGUCAUGAGAUUUAGAAUCACCAUGGACACAUAUCUCUGGAAGGUCUGUGAGGGAGUUUCUAAAUUGCAAUAACUGGGUAGGAAGUCAUACUUUAAAUGUGGGCAGUCUUAUUUCACAGGCCGAAUUCUUGAAUGAAAAGAGAAGGCAAGCCAAGUAACAGCAUUCAGCUCUCUCUGCUUCUGACUGCAGGUCAAUGGGGCUAGCUCCCUCAAGCUCAUGCUGCGGUGAUACUGUUUCUUCAAACUGCAAACCAAACCCUCCCUCCUCCUUACAUGCUUCUGCCAGGUAUCUCACCAGAGCAACAAAAGGUACCUAAUACAGGACACUGGCUAAGAUGAUUGGCAGGUAAGAUCGCACCUGAGGGCAAGUCUGGCAUGGAUGCGUAAGGGGAGGUGUGACACAGUUCCUGCCCCUGGAAUAUCGACAGGCCAUUGAUUCCCACAUGUGCUGAUGGUUGCUGUUGCCCUGGAGCUGAUCUGCUAUCUUUUCUAUUUUACUUUCAAUCUCUUUCUGGGGAAUAUACUUCCGCCAUUACUCAGAGGUAAUAAACGAAACAGAUGUGGUUCUCAAGAAUGAGGAAUGGAGGUGGUCAUGAGGCUGUGGAGGAUGAGGAACAGGCCUUCUGCUUCGCCUUUAAGGUCAUAGGACAGGAUCUAAACAACAGAACCACAAAGGCCAUAAAAGCCUACACAUGGUCCUUUGUAUAAAUUGCUCACUUUGAAACCUUGAACUUGGAACUAUAUGAGGAGACGCAAGUACCCUCUCAUGCAAUGACUGCUGCUUUAAUUAGGCAGGGUGAAGGGGGACAUCAAAGACUGUUAGAGAAGUCUCGGGGAGAAAAGGCAUGGAUAGGAAAAGAAGGAAUCUAUAGAAAACAAGCACAUGAUAGAUGUUCUUAUCUUACAGGAGGGAGGCUUGUAUAUGACCUAGAAACAGAGGUCAUUAGCAGGAGAGUAUAGGAGGCUAGGAUAGAAAAUAAGGAUUAGAGAAUUAAAAGAUCAUGGGCAAGCACAUGAAAAGUUAGUACUCCGUCCUCCUCGCUCCUUGAAGGAUCGGAGAUGACAAUACCUACUUUAUUUGUGUAAGUUUUAAAACUUUGUAAGAAAUUAUUUUAACCUUAGUAGUCUGUCACCUUUAUGUUUUACAUGAAAGGUUACUAUAGAGUAGCAGGAAACCGCAGGAGCUGUGCCCAGCUACCUGUGAAGAAAGUGUGCGUGAACCUAUAAGGAAGUGUGCUUUGGCUUUGUGUUUAGUGUCUGUUUGAAGGAGGCAGGGGUUGGGACUAAUGAUCUGGGAUUCAUAAAAUUUAUGUAAAUUUAAGGAUUUCUAAAAAAAUAUUAACAAUGGUCAAAGCCUUGAUGAUGUGGCUUUAGUAAAUACAAUACCGGUCAGGCUCUCUGGUCAGAAGAUGGUGAGAAUCCCUGGGCAAGGAGAGCCCUGAGCUUGUACCCACUACUGACUGCAGUCAUUAUGGAAUCAGCGCCGCUCCCAUCCCCCUUUCUCAGGACCCUCCCCAUGCUGAGGACGGACCUCAGCACCUGAGCAUGGAAGACCUUCCCUGAACAUAGCGGGCCCAUCAAGUAGGCUGGGGACCCAGGCGGGGAAAAGACGAGCAAAAGCCAGCCACGUGUACAAACUCCGUCCUUUCCAAGCAAGGUGUCUAUGGCUGCUCUAGUUCCUGCAGUGUGAACUCACACCAAUGGCUCCAGAAGUUUCCAGGCCUUUAGCCUUAGAUUGGGGCCUUUCUUGUUUGGAGGAUUCCAGUUUGUGGACUGAACAACUCUCAGGCUCUCUGCCUCUGUAGUGGGUGGACAAUUAGUAGGGACAACCUAUCUUCAAUUGUGUGAGCCAAGCUAAUAAACCUUGCACUUGGGUGGGUUUUAAUCAUCUAACACGCUUUCUCUGCCCAUGGACAGCACGCUCCAGUCCACCGUGAGAAGAUGCCUUUCACGCUGCACGGUGGCUGUCACCAAUUACAUAUUCCUUAUGUUCACAUUUGUUAAGGCCCCUGAGCUCAGCACUCCUUACAUUGACUCCCCAGCCCAGUUUCCAAUCUCCAAAUCCUAUAAUCUCUCAACUUGUUAGCUCACACAUCCUGACUACCCAGAACCCUCCAGACCCAUGACCAGGCCUCAGCUGGUCCUCCUUCCUCCUCCUUCUUCUCCCUCCUCCUUUUCCCUUCUCCCCGCUCCCUUCUCUCCCCUCCCUCCUCCUCCUUCUCAUGGGACAACCAUUUCUCCCAGUGCUCCUGAGCCAGUGCAGGCCUUACAAAGGUCUCCCCUUGGUAACUAGCAGGGCCUGAAGCUAGGAACCUGCUCCGCUGGUGUACUGGCUGGUGUCUGACCUUUCUCUCAUGAUUGCGCUGGCUACCCUCAUGGAUAGCUGGAGUUGUGGCCUGAAUCUGAGUUGGGACAAACCUCCCUACUGUUGUUGGCGGAACACUCUGCAUGUUUCUGUACCAGGCUGAAAUUUCCCUUUGGGCUUCACCAGUGUUCUACCUUGCUGGGAUAACCUGAGAAUUUCAAAGCUCCCCUGGUCCCCAGCCAGGAUGAUGAUGUUAGUAUGCAAAGCCCUUACGGGGAACCAUGAGUGGAAGAUGGCUACCAGUGGGCAUUUCACAGGUGCACUGGGUGAACGGCUCACUUGUGAGGAGACAUGCGAUACUCUUGUCAUUGUUGUGUGCUGAAUGGAGCUGUGCACUUGAACUGCUGCCAGGGAAGGCAUGGGGAGAGAUCGGUAAUAAAUUUGGUCCCCAGAUGUUGGGAGUACCAGGGUCCCGUGUCAGGAGUCCACAGAAAGAGCUAGGGGAUUCCUUAUCUCUCUCACAGGGCUUCUUCCCUCGUUCUCUCGCCAGAUGUGUAUCAUGGCCAUGGAGGAGGCUGCGAAGAAAGGGGCCAAGCUGCCUGCUGCCAGGUGGCACAGACACGUUUUUCUGGAACGGUGACGUGGUGACAUUUCUACAGGGCACUAGAAGGACUGGCACCUGCCUCCCUAACUGGCCAUAGGACCUGGGAAAGUUGGCCUUAUCAUCCUUAUCAGUGGGGCAGGAUUUAAGAGGGGACAGGAGGGGCUCGUAAAGGGAUCUUACAAGGGUAGAGAAGGCUUCAGUAAUUGCCUCCAACUCCUUUUUGUUGACCAUACACCUCUCGUGUGAUAAGAGAUCUCUAUUAUGAUAAGACAUGGUAAUCUUGGACAACCUGGCCUUGACUACUUGUCUACACACGGGGGAGGAUAUACACGCACAUGUAUAUGUAUGUACACGUGGAGGUCGGGGGGUCAACCUUGCAUGUCAUUCGACAGGAGCUGUCUAUCUUGUUGGGACAGUGUCUUUCUCUUGGAUCUGCGCUGAGGGACCAGUGAGCCUCAGGGGUCUGCCUGUUUCCAACUGUCCAGUUCUGGGAUUACAAGUGUGUGUCACCCUGCCUGGCUUGUUUUACAUGGGUGCUAGUGAUCGAACUCAUGUCCUUAAUCGUACAUGGCAAGUACUUCACUGAUAGAGCUAUCUCCCUCACUCUAUCAGCCCACUGUGUGUGUGUGUGUGUGUAUACUGUGUAUGUGUGUGUGUGUAUACAGUGUGUGUGUGUGUGUGUGUGUGUGUGUGUGUGGUGUGCAGGGGCAGCAUGCAUGUGUGUGACAUGUGUAUGUAAGUGUGUGUAAUGUGUGUGACAUGUGUGUGUAUAUGUCUGUGGGUGAUGUGUAUGAGUGUGUGUGUGUGGUGUGGAGGAGGCAGUGUGUAUGUGUGUGUGACAUGUGUGUGUGUAUAUGUGCGUGUGUGUGACAUGUGUAUAUGUGUGUGUGAGACAUGUGUGUAUGUGACGUGUGUAUGUGUGUGUGAGACAUGAGUGUAUGUGAGUGUGUAUAUGUGUGUGUGUGUGUGUUUGGUACUAGAUACUGACCUGGGGCCGGCCCUGUAUGGGUCAAACAGUCCUACUGAACUUUCAUGUGCUGAACUUGGCUCCCUGCUUUCUUUGAAGGUUUCUUCUCUAUUUUUUGAAAUCGAGUCUUGCUAUGUAGUCUAGGCCGGCCUUAAACUCUGUAUAGACUAGGCUGGCCCUGAACUCAUGAUGGCUCAGCCUCUCCUCUAGAGCUGGGAUUACAAGCGCACUAUCAUAUCUGACUCAAGCCUCCUGAACGAUACCCAAGGCAGCAAUCACAACCCUCUGUGAGAAAGCCUAUACAUCUUUUUGUCAUACGUGACCAAUUCAAAGGGUGAGACAGAGACAAGACUGACCGGAAUUCAGCUGCUUGAUGAUAAACUCUAUCUGGCGGAUCAUUUCGGCAUUGCCUUCUUUGAUGAAGCAUCGAAGAAUGUCCUCCAUUCCCUAGGCCGUGAAAAGAGCAAACGCAUCAGGGUGAGGAUGUGAGGGACCACUUUCAGUGAUGCAGUUUCAUCUACUACCAAAGGUACUUUUUUUCUUAUUUUUGGAAAAGGUUUUUUAAAAUAAAAAUUAUCUGCUUGGUAUUAAACAUUCAUUUUAAAACAGCGAAAAAUUGUUUUCUUCUUGGUUGACUAUCCUGACUUAAUUAUAACAUAAUACACUCAGAAAAAGACCCAGAAGAGAUCACUGGAUUGCACUGGAUGCCUGUAUGCCAGCACUCAGGGUGCAUUUACACCAUUGCCUUUAGUGUGGGAAUGUACUUUGGGGAGAGGAUUUCUUUUCUAUGUUUCCCCUAAGUUUAUACACACGGCCCUCUGAAUUUAGGGUCCUUUAUGAUCUUUGAAAAGCUGAACCACAUGUUUUAAACAAAUAGAAGCUUUCUUCAACUAGUUGAGAUUCCUAUCCUAUCAGAAGAAAGAUGGCGGGACCAGGGAGUUGGCCAGGCAGGGGGAAAGCACCGUCUGCGCAGGCUGGGUGACCUGACUGCAGCCCCUGAGCCCACGGGAAAAGCCAGGUGUGGCCAGCGUGUACGUGAACAACAGGCGGCAGGACUGUAAGGCUGGAGCAGGAAGGAAAGCAGCAGAAACAAGAGACGCUGCCUCAAAACAAGGAGGGAGAACCAACGCCUAAAGACUUGACUGUGUGCAUGCUGCCCCACCACCCAAAUAAACACACAUUUCUGUGGUUUGGUGGGCAGAGUCUUACAAUACAGCCUGGCUGGCCUUGAAUGUAAAUGAGAUCUGCCUGCCUCUGUCUCCCAAGUGUUGGGAUUAAAGGCAUGGGCCACUAUCUGGCCUACUUAAAGAUUUAAAGACGGAGUGAUAAGGUAGGAGAGAGUCUGUUAAGAGCCCUUACUCAUCUUACAGAGGACCCAGGUUUGAGGGCCAGCAUGGCAGCUCACAGUUGUCUAUAACUAACUCCAGGGUGUCUUAUGCUUUCUUCUGGCUUCCCUGGGCACUAGGUAUACAAACGGUACACACACAUACAUGCGGGUGAAGCAUCCACACACAUAAAACUACACAAAAUGAUAGUUAUUAUACUGUGCACUGUAACACAAGGACACCAGAAUUUUCCACUCUAAGAGGACUAAAGCAAACUUAGAAGUAAGAAAUUAACAUAAGCACAGUGCAACCCCUCUCUGUCCUCCUUCCCCACAGCACUGGAAUGUGUGCAUGUACUGUGCUGGAUCAAACAAGGUUAUCUUGGCACCAAGAGGGGACGCAUAUCUAAAAAUGAACCCAAAACAGAACAACUGGCGUUCAGAAAGGCUGGCUCACUAGCAGGCAAAACACUCAUCAAAAUGCCUAACACUUGCCCUUGAGUUUGUGGUGACCUGAGCUAGUAUGGUCCUUAUUGUAUUUUUAUUUAUUUACUUACUUAUUACUUAUUUUGGAGACAAGGUCUCAGUAUGCAGCCCUGGCUGGCCUGGGACUCACUAUAGAUACACCUGCCUGUCUCCUAAGUGCUGGGAUUAAAGUUGAGAUCCAUCAUGCCUAGCUAUGUUCUCUUUACAAAUAGCCUGGUCUGAGGCAAUAAUAGUUCUAACGGACUCAAAGGUAGUCCAUAUAGCUUGGAUCACAUGGAGUUUGGACUGUGAUUCUAGCUCCCUGAGUCAGGCCCCAUGCUACCUCACUCAAAUUGCUCAACUCUUCCCAAAGACAAGCUAUAUUACUAGGACUACUUAUGCAGAUGUCUGUGUCUGUCAAAAUGUAAAUCCUGUAUGCAACUGUAUAUAAGCUGUGCACUUCAUUUUUGCAAGUCAGACCUAAUCAAUGGCAUCUUCUAGGGGAUGCCACAGUGGGUGAGUGAGUGGGGGGGGAUGGGUGUAGCUCAUGCCAGAGAGCACAGUUGAAGCCCUGGAGUAAAGGAGGUAUUCCCAUGGGUACAGUGAGAAGACCUGAGGGCUGGACCAGAACCUUGGAGGACAGCAUUCCAUAGGAGGAUGAGACAGAAGCAUAGACUGAGUAGACCACUGAGGAAUAGUCUGGAACAGAGGAGACUGAUGGGUGUCUUGGAGGCAAGCACAGAGUGUUUCAAAGGAUUGAGAGACCAUGGCAGCUCUUGUGGGGCCAGUCAGACAUCUGGGCUCAUCCCAUAGUCCUCCACCACAGUCUGCCUUAGUCCUUGGCUGCCAGAAGGGCUAACAGUUCUGUCUCAUGCAGCGGUCUCCUCCCCACUUCCCCACGAGGGUGAGUUAGGGGUCUCUAUCAUUAGGGUACAGUCAGGUGCUAGACCCCAACAUGCCAUUAACCACAAUGGCUACUGAGAAUUUAGGUACGGCCAGAGACAAAGAACUCUUACAACUCUCUCUCUCUCUCUCUCUCUCUCUCUCUCUCUCUCUCUCUCUCUCUCUCUCUUUUUGCAGAGGCAAUUCUGUGAUCUGCUCAUAUCUUUAUAGAUCACUUGAGUUCAAUUGAUGCCUAUCCUUACAUCUCCGGCUUAGUGAGAGCGUGGAAAGCAAACAUCUCAGCCCGUGUAGUUGGGGGAUUGCUUGGACGCCUCACAGAAAACACGCCAGUGAAAAAUCUCACAUAUAGCUUUUAAAACCACAUAUAGAAGGUAAUGUUUAAUCUAAAUUAUAGAACUGAGAAAGCAUAAAAAAUAACAGUAUCCUCUGGGUGUGGCAGCACAUGUCACCCUGUAAUCCUAGCAUUCAGGAGGCCAAGACUGGAGGACCAAAGGCUCUAGUCUUCCCUGGGCUAGAGGGAGACCCUGCCUCCAAAAAUAAACAAAACCUCAUAUUUCAUCCUAAAAGCAAUAGCUGGGCACUUCAGAUAACCGUGGACAAUCAUGGGGUUGGGAAGGACAGGGGCUCAUCACUUGCCACUCAGAUGCCUCUGAGGACACAGUAUGCCAAGCAGCAGAAGAGAGGAACUUAGCCCAGCUACAGUUAAACAGUGAAAACAAAGGCCAAGUCUACUCUAGUGGAAAUGCACAGCCAGAAACGUUUGCAAUUUCUACAUUUUGGAAUAUCUGCAUAUACAUAAUAAGAGGUAUCUUAGGGAUGGGACCCAUGUCUAAACAAAAUUUAUGUUUCUGUUUCAUGUGUCUUCAAUAUGUAGCCUCAAGAUAAUUUACAUAUGAUAUCUAU